RNAcentral lists this transfer RNA (67 nucleotides) under Candidozyma auris. RNAcentral describes it as "tRNA-Ile". The record is from RNAcentral. Lineage: Eukaryota; Fungi; Ascomycota; Pichiomycetes; Serinales; Metschnikowiaceae.
AGGAAUUAUAAGAAAGUUAUUUUAUUUUUAUAUAUUUAUGUUAUAUAAAUAUAUAUUUUAAUGUCUU